CCUGGUGGCUCAGAGGUUAAAGCAUCUGCCUGCAAUGCAGGAGACCUGAGUUCGAUCCUUAGGUCAGGA
RNAcentral lists this transfer RNA (69 nucleotides) under Bos taurus (domestic cattle). It matches the Rfam family "tRNA". Rfam says of the family: Transfer RNA (tRNA) molecules are approximately 80 nucleotides in length. Their secondary structure includes four short double-helical elements and three loops (D, anti-codon, and T loops). Further hydrogen bonds mediate the characteristic L-shaped molecular structure. tRNAs have two regions of fundamental functional importance: the anti-codon, which is responsible for specific mRNA codon recognition, and the 3' end, to which the tRNAs corresponding amino acid is attached (by aminoacyl-tRNA synthetases). tRNAs cope with the degeneracy of the genetic code in two manners: having more than one tRNA (with a specific anti-codon) for a particular amino acid; and 'wobble' base-pairing, i.e. permitting non-standard base-pairing at the 3rd anti-codon position. The record is from Rfam by way of RNAcentral. Lineage: Eukaryota; Metazoa; Chordata; Mammalia; Artiodactyla; Bovidae. RNAcentral also lists the same sequence under 1 other name.